Long non-coding RNA from Mustela erminea (ermine), 1727 nucleotides. RefSeq lists it as uncharacterized. The record is from RefSeq and is a predicted model, not a curated record. NCBI's taxonomy places the organism in Eukaryota, Metazoa, Chordata, Mammalia, Carnivora, Mustelidae. The transcript has 3 exons.
CAUAAAUCUGUUGAAAACAUAAAGGUGAGAUUUUUUUUUCUUUUUUGGGGAGAGCUACAAACAUUACAUGUGGGAACUUCCACCCCGAAAGAAUCUCAUUGUAGACCUGGUGUUUAAUUUGAACUCUUCUGUCUCCGUCUGCCUUUGCGGAAUAAAUACUUCUUGUGGUUUUUUCAUGUGGUUUUCAUGGAACUAAUCCAACUGCAUUUCUAGAAUAUGUUGGCUUCUCUCAUGUUAUGCCACACAGUGGGUGAUGCCCAGCACAACACGGGAAAGGCCAAUCAGGUGUUCCCGAGAGCUUUGGGUGAAUAAGAGGGGGGUUUCUUUGCCUCUGUGUCUUAUUAACAAAAACCACUCCCCGUCCACCUUCUGUUUACUUUCGGUUCCUGCCCUGAACAUCACUGUCCAGGCAGGAGUGCACGUGCAGGGGACCCACACCUGCAGUGGUACCAAGAGUCUGGUCUUCGUUCUCACUACUGCCCCUGUGGUUCACUCACGUAGCCACGGAGUCAUCCUUCAAAGUGUAUGGAGAGGAUGCUACUCCUGCUUAAGACUCUCGAGUCAUCUUGUCCUGUGCUUCGGAUAAAUUCCAGGCCCUCACGUGGCCCACAAGCCCUGCACCUCUGUAAUCUCUACACUCAACACGGGGCUCAAACUCAUGACCCUGACCGGGGUCAGGCAUCACCUGCCCCACCGACAGUACACCAGGAGCUCCUCUGCGGGCUGUGAUCCCAAAGAGAGGGGCAUUUAUGCACUCAUUCGGAGAGACCUGCUUUCAGGAGAGAUUUCUGAGGUAAUCCUGAUGUAGUUGUUCUCGGCUAUGCUGAACUUGUGGAAGAGCACCCACUCUGGCAGCCUCUUGGUGACGGAGUAGCCGGAUAGCGGGUGCAGCUGAGCGACCUGCUUGUGCGUCAGCAUCAAGUAGUUACCCGACCCGUCCACGUCCCGUGCGAUCUACCAGGCAGCGUUGGGGAAAAAAGAUUUGUGUUAAGAUGGAGGUAAUGGACAAAAAUGUUUUCUUUAAAAAAACUCCACAAAGUGUUUUGUUCAAAAUCGUGAAAAUUACAUAUCUGCCACGUAUGUUUCCUAUUUUCAGACCUAAAAAAUAAGCCCCAAACAGGUUUUGCCCAGAACUUUGAGACAGUGACGACAUUCCUAACAUCAGCAGUUUCAGGCAGUGUGUGAAGAGCGCGGCUGCAAAGGCGACGUUUGGGCCGUGAACGCUGGCGUGGUACCUGCCACGUUCUGGGCCGCAUGUUUUAGCUCAGUCAGUACAGUAACACUGAUGGAGGAACCUUACUUUUUCUGUACAUGAUGAGGAAACUCAUGUUAAAAUGUCAUUUUUUUCUCUGUUAAGACCACUUUAGAGUUUGCGAGGGAAUACCACAGCUUCUCUGACCGCGACGUGAAGAACAUGGCCGCCUCGGUGGUGUGCUUCAGUUGAGGCGGCUGCGUUAGGAGGCAGCCUUCAUUCGGGGGAUGAAACAAAUGAGACACUGCCUUUAGUUCUUGGCUGAGAGUUAGUGUCACCGGUUAAAUGUGAGCUAAUUCACAGAGCAGCGAGACGAGGGACUGACCUGAAGCUCGGCCACAGCGCAUGUUUUCCUAGCGUCCCUGCUGCAGUGAGAACAGGCCGCCUGUCCUUUUGGACAAAGUGAACAUACUCUGGCUUAGCCCUUCAAUUCCCUUGAGGGGAAGUAUAUUUAAAUACUAAAUCUUUAGUAACA